GGCACCCGCAACUGUGCCGUGCAGGUCAAUACGCACUCAUCACUGAGCACACAAACAGGACUAGGAGCUCCAGCAUUUGUGUCCUCGCCAACUUCCCUUGUUUUUCCACGGUUUCUGGGAAGCCCUUUCUUUAGUAACCAUGCUCCUGUUUUCUCACCCAGAUGGAAAGCAAAACUUGGAACCAGAAGCUUUGUACUGCUUUCCCAGCAGCUAAGCCCAGUAAGAAUGAUGGACUGGGAUCUGGAAGGUUUGAUCCCACUUCUGCCUGUGCCAUGAACUCACCCUUGACUUGAAGCAAGUCACCUUCCUAUUCAAAUCCUGCAUUUUUUCCAUCUGGAAGGGGAAGAAGCUGAGCUACAUGGUCUCUGUGUUCUCAACCAACCUGAGAAUGUUGUUUCACUCUGAAUAAAUCGGUUUGUCAAGACAGCCUCCUGCGGUGGCCAUCUGAUCCCGUGUGGCAUCUUGCCCAGCCUCUGACAAAUAACAACAGGAGGUGGGAACCGCUCAAGCCCUUCUGGGUUGCUUACCAGGCCAACUCACCCCUCUGGUCAAUGUCCACACCGAUGUGACUAUUACUCUUCAGGAAAUGCUCUCUCCAAUUUGGGGCCCACCCUGUAUUCAUGAAAUCAAUGGCUC
This 636-nucleotide long non-coding RNA is filed under the name Marmota monax (woodchuck). The record is from RNAcentral. Lineage: Eukaryota; Metazoa; Chordata; Mammalia; Rodentia; Sciuridae.